CAGCCCUAAACGAUGCGCGUUAGGUGUAUCGGUGACCACGAGUCACCGAGGUGCCGAAGGGAAACCGUGAAACGUGCCGCCUGGGAAGUACGGUCGCAAGGCUGAAACUUAAAGGAAUUGGCGGGGGAGCACCGCAACGGGAGGAGCGUGCGGUUCAAUUGGAUUCAACGCCGGACAACUCACCAGGAGCGACGGUUACAUGAAGGCCAGGCUGAUGACCUUGCCUGAUUUUCCGAGAGGAGGUGCAUGGCGUAGUCGUGU
This 261-nucleotide ribosomal RNA is filed under the name uncultured archaeon. RNAcentral describes it as "partial 16S ribosomal RNA". It matches the Rfam family "Archaeal small subunit ribosomal RNA", at positions 748 to 1009 of the family's 1478-position model. The record is from RNAcentral.